RNAcentral lists this ribosomal RNA (497 nucleotides) under uncultured bacterium. Its description in RNAcentral is "partial 16S ribosomal RNA". It matches the Rfam family "Bacterial small subunit ribosomal RNA", at positions 28 to 507 of the family's 1533-position model. The record is from RNAcentral.
GAUGAACGCUGGCGGCGUGCCUAAUACAUGCAAGUCGAGCGAACAGACGAGGAGCUUGCUCCUCUGACGUUAGCGGCGGACGGGUGAGUAACACGUGGAUAACCUACCUAUAAGACUGGGAUAACUUCGGGAAACCGGAGCUAAUACCGGAUAAUAUAUUGAACCGCAUGGUUCAAUAGUGAAAGACGGUUUUGCUGUCACUUAUAGAUGGAUCCGCGCCGCAUUAGCUAGUUGGUAAGGUAACGGCUUACCAAGGCAACGAUGCGUAGCCGACCUGAGAGGAGGAUCGGCCACACUGGAACUGAGACACGGUCCAGACUCCUACGGGAGGCAGCAGUGGGGAAUAUUGGGCAAUGGGCGAAAGCCUGAUGAAGCAACGCCGCGUGAGUGAAGAAGGUCUUAGGAUUGUAAAACCCUUUUAUUAGGAAAGAAAAAAAGUAGGAGAAAACAUGCACGUUUUGACGGUACCGAAACAAAAAGCAACGGCUAACUACGUG